Long non-coding RNA from Zea mays, 1568 nucleotides. RefSeq lists it as uncharacterized. Lineage: Eukaryota; Viridiplantae; Streptophyta; Magnoliopsida; Poales; Poaceae. The record is from RefSeq and is a predicted model, not a curated record. The transcript has 3 exons.
AUGCCACAUUUCUCUACUAACUAUUAAGACGGUACUGUAGACUGCCCCCGCCAAACAACCGCCCGCCCGAUCCCGCCGCGACCCCCGCCCGCCGCCAAUCGCCCGCCGCGAACCCCGUCCGCCGCCAACCGCAAGGCGCGAACGCCCGCCCGCCGCGACCGCUCGGCAAACGCCGUGAACAGCCCGCCACCAACCGCGAUACGCCCGUCGCGACCUUCCGCGAACCCUGCCCGCCGCCACGAAUGCCCGCCUCUGCGAACCCUGCAAGCCACGAUACGCCCGCCGCGACCCGCCGCGAAUUCCCUCCCGCAACGCCCGCACGACCGCCCGCACAACCCGCAUGCCCGCCGCGAGCCCGCCGCAAACCCCGCCCGCACGCCCGCCAGCCAUGCCGCGACAGACCUACCACAAUUUCACAAAGAUGUUUUCUGCUAUUUACAGAUGAAUAGUUAUUGUCAGGGACAACAAGGUUCCAUCAUUUCCAGGGAGGAAAAUGUUCGUGUAAUGAUUAUUGGUAGUCCACCCGCUCUUGUUCGUUGCAGUCGGCAGCACACCACAAGGAAGUGAAGUUAGGUUGAAACAGACUCUUGACUUGUGAAAAUAAUUGAUGAAGAUUUCUUCUCUUUCUCCAGAUACUUUUGAAGAGGUGAAGAGCAAGCGUGAUAGGAAAAAAACUCGGUGGCAAGGCAAUCUUUAUCAAGGUCAAAUGUGGCUGGCUGGGCAACAGAUGGAGGAUUUGGCUCCAAACCUUUUCUUGAUGGUCUCGAAGUGUAUAAUAAACAAAAGAACAAUUCUGGAAGCCUUGACAGAUUCAAGAUGGAUUCAAGACCUUCGGGGUGUUUUAUCUUGGGAGGUGUUCAUGGAAAUCACACUUCUUUGGAAGCUUUCGAAGGGGUUAACCUGCAGCCCGGCAUUGCCGGAUAGACACUUUUAGAGGUUGUCCAGUUCCAGAAAAUAUUUAGCAACCUCGGCUUAUGCAGCCAUCUUCUAAGGAUCCUUGCAGUAGGAGGCUUUUGAUCGUGUCUAGAAGAUUUGGGCUCCUCCUAGGUGCACUUUCUUCAUCUGCCUUGUGAUCCACAAUCGAUGUUGGACAUUGGAUCGAUUGGCUAAGAGAAAUCUCCCUCGACCGAGCUGUUGUCCCCUUUGUGAACAGGAAGAUGAGACAAUUAAUCAUAUCUUAGUAAUCUGUGUUUUCAGCAGGCAGUUCUGGUUCUUUAUUCUCCAAAGAAUGGGGCUCAUUGCUCACGACCUGUGAAAAUAAUUAAUCAAGAUUUCUUAUCUUUCUCCGGAUACUUUUCAAGAGAUGAAGAGCAAGUGUGAUAGGAAAAAAGACUCGGUGGUAAGGCAAGCAAUUCAAAAGGCUUUGGUGGCGCGGAACGAUCGUCAGUUUGCCGUUAGAUAUCUUGACGACCAAAUGUGUAGAUAGAGUCUAAAACUUUUGCAAAUCUGAAUUUUAGGAUGGAAUAAAUGUACUAUUAUUGAUGCAACUUACAUGUGUCAAGAUUUGUAAAACAUUUUGUUCUACUGGGAAAUAUUAAUGAAUAAGUGGAACAUCAAAUCGUUUAGCC